GACGAACGCUGGCGGCGUGCUUAACACAUGCAAGUCGAACGGAAAGGCCCUGCUUUUGUGGGGUGCUCGAGUGGCGAACGGGUGAGUAACACGUGAGUAACCUGCCCUUGACUUUGGGAUAACUUCAGGAAACUGGGGCUAAUACCGGAUAGGAGCUCCUGCUGCAUGGUGGGGGUUGGAAAGUUUCGGCGGUUGGGGAUGGACUCGCGGCUUAUCAGCUUGUUGGUGGGGUAGUGGCUUACCAAGGCUUUGACGGGUAGCCGGCCUGAGAGGGCGACCGGCCACAUUGGGACUGAGAUACGGCCCAGACUCCUACGGGAGGCAGCAGUGGGGAAUAUUGCACAAUGGGCGGAAGCCUGAUGCAGCAACGCCGCGUGCGGGAUGACGGCCUUCGGGUUGUAAACCGCUUUCACCUGUGACGAAGCGUGAGUGACGGUAAUGGGUAAAGAAGCACCGGCUAACUACGUG
This 468-nucleotide ribosomal RNA is filed under the name uncultured bacterium. RNAcentral's name for it is "partial 16S ribosomal RNA". It matches the Rfam family "Bacterial small subunit ribosomal RNA", at positions 28 to 507 of the family's 1533-position model. The record is from RNAcentral.